Molecule: long non-coding RNA, 2526 nt
Filed under: Daphnia pulex (common water flea)
Lineage: Eukaryota; Metazoa; Arthropoda; Branchiopoda; Diplostraca; Daphniidae
Description: uncharacterized LOC124208032, transcript variant X2
Source: RNAcentral
AAAGAUGAGUACAUUCAGUGGGAUGGAAGAUCUCAGCGCAGACUGCCUCUGAACCGCCGCUGGUCGAUCACCUGAGGACACACCAAACAAAACAAACGAAGCCAAGGAUUAGAUUCUCCAGCCAAUUUUAAAUUAUAUCGGGAAAGAGUGAACGGCAGCCGACCAAAUAAUUCAAGACUAUUUCGAUUAGAUGCAGGUGAAUUCUCAACUUUUAUUGCGCUGCUGAAUGAACGCGUUUCCCCUUUCUUGUGUGACGUCAAGUAUAAAGUAGUAGCCUUGAUUUUGCACGAAGAAGGGAGCGAACCAACUUUUCCCAUCUCGUCACUUUGACUUAACGUGGAAGCAUCCCGCCACUACAUUGACGUUCACCCUGGCCCUCGAGAAAUAGCGAUGAAAGUGAGAAUGAUUAGAAAAUGACAUGAUACGCCCUAAUGCAGGUUUCCUAUAUGGCCAUUAUGGUUUCAUCUGAUGAAAGGGGAUGCCAUAACCACUGGCAUUUGGAGCUUCGUAUACGAUGGGCAGUUACGAGUAUUAAUACGCAAGUACGGCAUUCAAUCGAUCCAACACGGACUGGACGCCAGUCGUGGACAUUGCCGAGUUGAAGGUUCAAUGUCUCGUCUGGGGGACGUUCCGUCGACGCCAACGACAUGGAAAAAACUCGAAAAACUUUUUCAUAAACUGCAACCCAAUUUCAUCGACCAUCAAAGCUGAAGAAAGGCUGAAAUAGCGAUGAAUAAAGAGGGGGCAGUUUGGGAAUUGACAUCAACACGCCAGAUAUUCGGCUGGAGAAAUGCCAAACUUGCGGCACGCAAAAAAGCAAUUGAAAAAAGGGCCAAAGCGCAACGAAGAUAUGACAAGAAAAAACUCAAAAGGAUUGAAAGGCCAACAGUUAUUCCUGCCUACUACUUGAAAAUGGAAUUCCCCACUCUAUUUUAAAAUUGAGAGGCGGGAGUUUGGUACCGCGAAAAGAUGCUGAAAACGAAAUGCGAAUAGAAUUUGAAAAGGAAAACGACACGGAAAUGAGAAGAGAUUCCCUUGUCUGUUUGUAACGGAGACGGCCCCUGAUCGAUCAAUCGACUUGCCAUAGACAACGAUUGAGCCGAAAAAUUAAAAAUGAGUUUUGUUUUAUACAUUCAAGUUUUAUUUGCGCAGAAUGGAAUUGCAAACUGAAGGGAAAGUAACUGUCAACACAAAAAUUACUCGCGUACUUUUAUCUCUCGAGUCUUGAAAGUCAAUUUAGUUCUAUUCUCUUUUCCUCCAUUUGGCCGUCGAGUGCUGCCCAAGUUAUUCAACUCCUUCCUUUUGACAAACACUUUCCUUCGUCCCGUCUUCCUUGAAUGAGAGACUCGAUCGAAAACUUGUCGUUUCUGUUUGCGAUUGUCAAGAGUUUGCUGGCCCGUUUUCAGUUGCGCAAGUAAAUGGAAAUGCAAUCCGAUUUGGAAACAGUGGGGAGGAUUGAACCGCGUAAUUGCUUUUCAUUCACAAUGGCGAUCAAUCAAAAACGGUUAUACAUGUUGUAUGUUAUACACCUGGAUGUUAUUUAAAAGAGCUGCUGUUGGCGUCACGACAUCCAUAAUUACAUCGGCACAAAAGACGGCGACGACCAGAUGGCGUGAGGACGGAGACGGCCCUUUCCAGGUAUCUGGCAACUUUUCCUUCUUAACCGGCACACGAAGACAAGGAAAGAUGGCAGUGGAUUCCAGCGAGAAGUCGCCCUAGUCUUUUUUCCAGCAGAGAGAAUGUUCAACUGUUAUUUGCACCCGUUUUCCACCUCCGUGAAUGAAUAAAAAAGGUAUAGUUGCCGGAAUCGGCUGGAUCUGCUCGCUGGAUCACCAAACGGCUCGUCCACGCCAUCCAGUCGCUUUUGCCGGCGAUGGAUUCAGCAACAUCUUCCAGGUAAAUGGACACCAACCCCAAACCGGCCGACGAUUUGCCGCCGUGAAUCAGCGGCCGGCCGUUGUGAAACCAAACGAACGGCGCUCUGCCACCCACCACCUGCUGAAAUGGAAUCGACUCUUAUAAUUAGGGGGGGGGGGGGUUGAAAUUGGGUGAAUUAUUUACGACGGACGUACCGCGGGUAACGACAACUGGUGAAGUGCCGUCUGUUCCCGGUUGGUCUCGUUGCUGUUGUUAAUAUGGAAAUUGUUGGCUUCUGGGUAGAGUUUGCAAUGCAGUUGGAUGUUGCUCUCGGCUUCGACGUGGUGUUCGCUGCCCUCGACGACCGACGCUACCGGCGCCCAGACUAAAAGUUCGACAAAGUGCGAAACUUGUCCCUGUCCGCCCGCUAUCUGCGUCGGACGUCGAUAGGAAAAAUAAUAAUUCAAAUUCCGUCAAUAUAAUUCACAUUUCCUGUGACAUUUUGUAAUAAUUCUAGAGUGUUUUGGCAUUUGUUCCUUUUGUUUGAUUACGAGGGGUUUCGUUCAGCGUGAAUGAGUUAUUGGUGGGAUCGUCACGUUUUCAUACACGGCCGAAUCGUCACGCAAUCUGAACGCCAGUCAACGGCUCUCAGAUUCGUACACAAAUGCA